This 148-nucleotide non-coding RNA is filed under the name Gorilla gorilla gorilla (western lowland gorilla). The record is from Rfam by way of RNAcentral. Lineage: Eukaryota; Metazoa; Chordata; Mammalia; Primates; Hominidae.
GCCAAGCAUGGUGGCGCAGGCCUGUAGUCCCAGCUACUGGGGAGGCUGAGGUAGGAGGAUUGCUUGGGCUGGGGAGGUCAAGGCUGCAGUGAGCUGUGAUAGCCCCACUGCACUCCAGCCUCAGUGACAAAGUGAGACCUUGUCUCUU